AGAACAACUGCACUACCAUCAACAACGACUAGACCAAAAACAUCAACCUUUAUUAAGAAAUGGUUAUCUGUAGUUGUCGGUGUGUCAGCUGCUGUUCUUUUCGUAAUUAUCGGAGCUGUAACGUGUCUCUAUUUUACAAAAACAAGAAUCCGUCGCAUCGAUCCUGGAAUAUAAAUCUUGCUAUUAUUUUUGGACUUAAAUAAGGGUGUGAACAUUGUUUUCAAAUUCUCAAUUAAAGGUGA
Long non-coding RNA from Saccostrea cuccullata (small rock oyster), 242 nucleotides. RefSeq lists it as uncharacterized. The record is from RefSeq and is a predicted model, not a curated record. The transcript is spliced from 3 exons. NCBI's taxonomy places the organism in Eukaryota, Metazoa, Mollusca, Bivalvia, Ostreida, Ostreidae.